CCAAGAAAUAGCAACAACAACAACAACAAGACCAAAAAAAAAAAAAAGAAGUUGUACCCCUUAAAUCUUUUAUUUUCCUUCUAAGUCUGUGUGGGGAAACAGUAAAGAUCGAGGUGAAAUGUUAGUGCUACAUGAAAAACAAUUUCAGCACUAACAGAAGAAACUGCUCAAGGUGGGGAAGAUGCAAGAGUUCAUCAUUCACGCAGUGUAAUGACAUUGGGAAAGGCUGGCCAUUUUUUCACACCUUGCAUCUAAUCUCUUAGGUAAUCCCAAUGGUUCUUCCUUCACAAUAGAUCCAGAAAGUGAUGAAAUGAGAACUUCUUCAUCUCUUCUUUCUUCCACCACUAUAUGAACUACCCCCACCUAUGGCCUGAAUCAAUGAACCUGCCUCCCAACAGGUACUUCUUACUGUGGCUGCCUCCCCAGUCUAUUCUCAAAACAGCAUCCAGAGUAAUCUUCUUAAAAUGUAAGAAGAGUUGUGCCAUUCUUCUGUUGAAAAUCAUCCAAUGGCUUACAUCUCACUGAGUAAAUGCCAACAUCCUGAAGAUGCCAGGAUACCCUCCAGAGCCUACUUCUGUCUUUCUGACACUGUCACCUCUAAGUCUUCCAUUGCUCACUCUGGAUUCCUUGAUCUUCCUCCUAUUGAAUAGGCACCUCCUACUUGAGGGUCUUUGUAUUGACCACCUGCUCUGUUGGAGGCAGCUGCAGUCAACCAUGCUCUCCCCAGACACCCUUCUGAUUGUACUUGCACCUGCUUCAAGCCUUUGCCUAAGUCUUGCAGUCUUAAGAAAGCCCACCCAAGUACCUAUUGAAAACCACAAGCUACCCACCCACUUCCUUAUUCCUAGUAUUGCUGACCCUAUUGUAUUUUUUUGGUAGCACUGGUCGCCAUGAAAUAUUCCGUGUUUCUUAUUUCUUAUGGUUACAGUUUAUUGCCUAUCUUCCAUCUGUUUCCCCCUAGAGAAAUUCCAAGAACACAAGGAUUUAUGUCUAUUUGUUUUGUUUAUGUAUUCAUUUGUAGAAUGAAUAAAUGGAUAAUACUCCUAACCGGAUUUAUUUUUUGGCUUCACCCAUGGCAUGUGGAUGUUCUCAGGCCAGGGACUAAACUCACCACAGCAGUGGCAAUGCUGGAUCCUUAACCAACGGAGACACCAGGGACCUCCCCUGACCAUCUUUUAAAAAUAGAUUUAUUUAUUUUUUAAUUAAAGUAUAGUUGAUUUACAAUGUUGUGCCAAUUUCUGCUUUAUAGCAAAGUGACCUAGUCAUCUGUAUUUAUUUUUUUCUUUUUCUUAUAUUAUCUUCCAUCAUGGUCUAUCCCAAGAGAUUGGAUAUAGUUUCCUGUGCUGUACAGUAAGACCUCGUGGUUUAUCCAUUCUAAAUAUAAUAGUUUACAUCUACUAGCCCCAACUCCCUGUCCAUCCCACUCCCUCUCCAUUCUCCCUUGGCAACUACCAGUCUGAGAACCACGAGUUCUCUAUGCCUGACCAGAUAUUUUUCCAGGUGAUAUUUUCAAGGGAAACUUCAGAGAGAAGCAGUGAGCCUGGCAUGGAAUAGUUUUUAAAUGGAGGAAAAAGUAAGUGAAUUAUAGAAGGAGAAAUGGUGCAAUAGAAUUUAAUGAACAGAACUAAAACUGAGAUUACAUAUGUUCCAGAGCCUGGUUUUAAACCUCCAGUUUCUAAACAUGUUAACUACUCAGCUU
Molecule: long non-coding RNA, 1699 nt
Filed under: Sus scrofa (pig)
Lineage: Eukaryota; Metazoa; Chordata; Mammalia; Artiodactyla; Suidae
Description: lncRNA (ENSSSCG00040066903.1)
Source: RNAcentral